RNAcentral lists this ribosomal RNA (253 nucleotides) under uncultured bacterium. RNAcentral describes it as "partial 16S ribosomal RNA". It matches the Rfam family "Bacterial small subunit ribosomal RNA", at positions 524 to 776 of the family's 1533-position model. The record is from RNAcentral.
UACGGGGGGGGCAAGCGUUGUUCGGAAUUACUGGGCGUAAAGGGCUCGUAGGCGGCCAACUAAGUCAGACGUGAAAUCCCCAGGCUUAACCUGGGAACUGCGUCUGAUACUGGAUGGCUUGAAUUCGGGAGAGGGAUGCAGAAUUCCAGGUGUAGCGGUGAAAUGCGUAGAUAUCUGGAGGAAUACCGGUGGCGAAGGCGGCAUCCUGGACCGACAUUGACGCUGAGGAGGGAAAGCUAGGGGAGCAAACGGG